RNAcentral lists this ribosomal RNA (354 nucleotides) under Myurella pygmaea. Its description in RNAcentral is "Terenolla pygmaea partial 12S ribosomal RNA". It matches the Rfam family "Bacterial small subunit ribosomal RNA", at positions 869 to 1384 of the family's 1533-position model. Lineage: Eukaryota; Metazoa; Mollusca; Gastropoda; Neogastropoda; Terebridae. The record is from RNAcentral.
UUACCAGAGCACUAUGAAUGUAUAAAGAUUUAAAACUCAAAGGACUUGGCGGUGUUUUAGACCACUCAGGGGAACCUGUCUCGUAAUCGAUAAUCCGCGUUGCACCUGACCUCUUUUUGUUCUCAGUUUGUAUACCGUUGUCGUCAGGUAACUUUUUAGAAACUAGAAGUUAGCUAUAGAAAUAAUUGAUAGUUUAAUACGUCAAAUCAAGGUGCAGCUUAUAUAGAGGGGAGGAUGGGUUACAAUUAUAUAAUUUAUAAUAACGGAGAUAUACAUGAAUAUGUGUUAAUUAUAAGGUGGACUUGAAAGUAAAUUGAAAUAUAUAAAUAAUUUGAAUAAGGCUCUGAAACGUGU